GACGAACGCUGGCGGCGUGCUUAACACAUGCAAGUCGAACGGAAAGGCCCUGCUUUUGUGGGGUGCUCGAGUGGCGAACGGGUGAGUAACACGUGAGUAACCUGCCCUUGACUUUGGGAUAACUUCAGGAAACUGGGGCUAAUACCGGAUAGGAGCUCCUGCUGCAUGGUGGGGGUUGGAAAGUUUCGGCGGUUGGGGAUGGACUCGCGGCUUAUCAGCUUGUUGGUGGGGUAGUGGCUUACCAAGGCUUUGACGGGUAGCCGGCCUGAGAGGGUGACCGGCCACAGUGGGACUGAGAUACGGCCCAGACUGCUACGGGAGGCAGCAGUGGGAAAUAUUGCACAAUGGGCGGAAGCCUGGUGCAGCAACGCCGCGUGCGGGAUGACCGCCUACGGGUUGUAAACCGCUUUCGCCUGGGACGAAGCGUGAGUGACGGUAAUGGGUAAAGAAGCACCGGCUAACUACGUG
RNAcentral lists this ribosomal RNA (468 nucleotides) under uncultured bacterium. Its description in RNAcentral is "partial 16S ribosomal RNA". It matches the Rfam family "Bacterial small subunit ribosomal RNA", at positions 28 to 507 of the family's 1533-position model. The record is from RNAcentral.